RNAcentral lists this ribosomal RNA (277 nucleotides) under uncultured prokaryote. Its description in RNAcentral is "partial 16S ribosomal RNA". It matches the Rfam family "Bacterial small subunit ribosomal RNA", at positions 524 to 800 of the family's 1533-position model. The record is from RNAcentral.
UACGGAGGAUCCGAGCGUUAUCCGGAUUUAUUGGGUUUAAAGGGUGCUCAGGCGGGCCAUUAAGUCGGCGGUGAAAUUUUGCGGCUCAACCGUAAAAGUGCCUUCGAUACUGGUGGUCUUGAGUGUGGAUGAGGUAGGCGGAAUUUGUGGUGUAGCGGUGAAAUGCGUAGAUAUCACGAGGAACUCCGAUUGCUAAGGCAGCUUACUAAGCCAUAACUGACGCUCAAGCACGAAGGCGUGGGGAUCAAACAGGAUUAGAUACCCGGGUAGUCCCUGA